This 254-nucleotide long non-coding RNA is filed under the name Elaeis guineensis (African oil palm). RNAcentral's name for it is "long non-coding RNA (EGUI_LNC070010)". The record is from RNAcentral. Lineage: Eukaryota; Viridiplantae; Streptophyta; Magnoliopsida; Arecales; Arecaceae.
UCAUCAGCAUGGUUAGCUACGGGCGCCCACACCAUCCCAUUGGGAACUCAUUUAGCUCUCGAGCAGUGCCAUUCAGAAGAUUGCACCCUUCUCCAUCCUUUCCCGCUACCUUGAGCCUCGUGUCGCCGUUCGUCCCCCCACUAGGAAGGCUGCUACAUUCUAUCCGGACAUCGCCAGUUUAUAAAAAUCUACCAAACCGCUUCAACCGGUGGAGGCAUUUAUUCACGGGCUCUAGCUGGUAAAGGCAACUGCAA